CACCAUGCUGGAUUUUGACGUAAUUUCUUCUUAUGUUGCUUGCAGGUGGCAGAGGUGUAUUUGAAUGUCGGCAGCACCCUGACAGCAAUUAGAACGUCCUCCGUCUGCUAGUCUUCUUGAUCCUUGAAUUCUGUGAAGCUAAGAUAGACAACAAAGCUUUGUGGAACUGAUUAGGUGUUCGCAUAAAUAUCUAGCCUUUCUCAUGUUGAGCCUCCUCAAUAAAUGCUACUUUCUUUGGUAGGAUCACAAUUUUAUAUUUUUAUGGAGCAGAAGAAUAUUUUUUUUAUUUUUUUAUGCCACCACAAUGAAUGUACUUAUGGAUUUUAUGCCACUUGUAUACUCACAUGGGGCUUACUAGUUUUAACAUUUUUAUUUUUUCUUUUCAAGAUGAUAUAAACCUGAUUAACUAAGCAAACUAUUUUAAAUAAUUGAAAGGAAAAGGAUAACUACCAAGUUUACCUCUUGGCGAGGCGUUCGGCGUUUUUAAGUCCUCCGAACGGGAGUCUCUGUUUUCUGAGUUGUCCUGGGAUUCGCUGGAUGGUGUAGUCGGUGGUUCCAGUGGUGCCUCCUCUUCGUGUAUAACUAUCUUCUCUCUCCACACCUAACUCGGUGCUACGGUCUCCAUAGGACAGUUCUCUUCAAGCUGUAUGUCUUCAGACCUUACAACUUCUCCUUCAUAGUCUGCCCAUCCGUCCUUGAUGAUUUGCCUCCUCUGGUUGCGGUUGCGUUGUCUUCUUCUUGUCCUCACCUGCUUAGAGUCUUCAACUAUAUAGUUAGGGUCAGUAAAAUCGCAGCGUACCUUCUCAGAGGGGAAGUGCAUGUGGACUUCUCCGGUUCCAAUGUAGAUGAUUGCUUUAACGGUGCUGAGGAACGGUCUCCCAAGUAUGAUGGGUGGAUCGUACUCGUCUUCUCCUAUGUCAAUAACCUGAAAAUCUAUAUGGACAAAAUGAUCAUCUGUUUUGACAGGGACAUCAGUUACUAUACCUUCAACCUUUCAGAAUGUCUGAUCUGCCAUCUGGAGGUGAAUGUAUGUCGGUUUUAGGGGCAUGGUUCUGAACAGGAGCUGAUAGGUUACUGCGGCCAUUAUGUUGACGCCCAACCCGGUGUCGCAAAGCGUCUUCUGGAAGUUGUAUCCAUUAAUGGAGCACUGGAUCCUUGGCAUACCUGUGUCGUCCUUCUUGGUCAAGAACGGUGACUUGAGUCGACGAUCUUGACCUCCAUGAACUGCAGUGACCAUCUUAGCUGACUCAGUCCACACUUGCUUGUUCCUAUUCCUCCUGUUGGUCCUCUUCCUUGGUUCAUGUCGGGAUUGCUCUAGGAUUUGUGCAGUCUUGUUCUUGAAGGAAAACGUCUCCUUCCUCCCCUUGAUGUAGAAACUGAUCUUGGCAGCACUAGCGUAGAUGACAGCUCCCGAGGAGUUCAGGAAUGGCCUCCCUAAGAUGACGGGAGCCCUCUCAUCAGAACCGGUCUCUAUCACCACAAAGUCUGCUGGAGCUUACAAGGUACCAACUCGGACACAGAGGUUCUUCAAGAUUCCCUUUGGGAAACUUAGCAUACGAUCUGCAAGUUGCAAACACAUGGUUGUUUCUAAUAAAGGAUGUGUAAAGAAUUUUUCAUAGAGUAGCCUGGGCAUAAUGUUGACGCUAGAGCCAAAGUCGCAGAGUGCUUCUGGGAAGUCCAUCAUGCCGAUGGAGAUCGGGAUGACGGGGCGUCCUGGAUCGCCUCUCUUGACCGGCAGAAGGUCAGUAGUUACUUCCACAAUGGGGUUACUCCAGUAGUUACCUAUAUCAAACAUGUCUACAAGAUUUGUAGAUUCUAAUCCUUACGGUUGUGAUGGUAUACCGGGGUUAGUAGUAGGAACAACAACAGCUAUUUGAUUUAACUGAGAUUCAAUCAUUUUAUUAAAGCUAAUUUGAUUCUUGAUGGCAGUAGAGAAAUUAUCCAUUCUAUUAUUUAUAUUUUCUAACAUUUUAUCAUUAGAUGCCAAUUUGUUAGAUAGGUUAUCCAUUAGCUUUCCUUGAUUAGACACUAACUCUCUCAGAGGUGGAAAAUUAUUAUUACUAUUGAAAGAAUUAUUACCUUGAUAAUUACCUAAGUAGUUAGGCCUCUGUUGAUUCCAACCUUGAUUUUGUUGAGGACGGUUGUAGUAGUAGUAGUAGUUGUUGAUGUAGUUCACGUCCUCAAGCAUCUCAGGGCAGUGAUAUUGCCUAAGUGUCCAGUAUCUCCACACUCCUCAGAAGUCAUGUGAGAGUCAUAGACGUGCAUGACUUCUUUCUUAUCUCCAGCUCUAUCAUCGAGCUUCUUCAUGAGGAGGUCAAGCUUAGCAGAUAGCAUGUCUACCUCCUUGAGCUAGUGCAUACCUCCACCUCUCUUGCGUGUCUGGGUCCUUUCUUCAUUCCAGCCUUGGUUGGAUGCCAUCUUCUCCACAAGAGCUGUGGCUUGUGGUAUGGUGAGUGACAGGAAUGCUCCUCCAGCUACAGCAUCCAUGGUCUCACGGGCACUAUUGCUGAGCCCAUGAUAAAAUGUUUGCAUCAAUAGCCAGCUCUCCAUUCCAUGAUGGGGACAUUCCAGGAUGUAGUCUUGGAAGCGCUCCCAUGCUUCUGGAACAGAUUCAUCACGUUGUUGCUGAAAACUUAUAAUUUUACCACGGAGAGCAUUGGUCUUGCCCAUGGGAAAGAACUUAGCCAGAAAGUUCAUGGAGCAGAGUGCCCACGUAGUAUUCUUCUCCUUUGUAGCGUAGAACCACUGCUUCGCUCUCCCCAACAGUGAGAAUGGGAAGAGGCAAAGUAGUAUAGCAUCUCUGGGGACUCCUGACAUGGUGAAUGUGCUGCAAAUCUCCAGGAAGUGUUGGAGAUGAGCACUAGCAUCUUCAUGCGCCUUCCCACAGAACUGGUUGGCUUGCACCAUGUUGAUGAGCCCAGGCUUGAGAUCAAAGUUGCGGUCGAUCUGUAUAGCAGGUCCAGUGCGGAUGUUAUCUGUAUUGGGAGCUGAGAACUCGCGGAUCAACUUGUUCGCCAUGGCUUCGAACUCUGAAGACAAGUUUCGGAUGAAACUUCAGCGGUCUUCUGGUUUAGACAAAGCUUUGCGUUGAAGUGUUGACGAUCUGAACUUGGCUUUGGUUUUUCUGAAUAACGCUUCGGGGUCGUCAACAAAAUUUUCUAGAAGAUGUCUUCUAUUCAUACAUCACCCUACAUAAAAUAAUAAAAAAUAGCAAAACACAGGGGUGAAGCUGUACAAGAGAAUUGAUGAUCUCAAUCAUAUUAGUGAUGCGAAUGAUGACUCAUAAUUCUGUAUUCAUUCCUUAUUAGUAAUCAACCUUGCUCGGCAACAGUGCUAAAAAUACUUGUUGGGCAUUCUUAACGUCAUUACCAAAAGUAGACUUAGUUUUCUAGUUCUGAUAACGGCGGCAAAAAUGCCGAACCUAUCCCUCAUGCCACUUAAGCCAAGUUGUCAUCCCCAGCAUGACAUGAGAGACGCGGUAUUGAAAUAUGCAAUUGCUCUUCUGAAUAAAUAAUAAAUGAGACCUACAUGCGCACAGAUUAAUACCGAUGUAACAUUUUAACCGGAAAGUAUUCCAGGUAUCGUUAUUUAUAUUUUCACCACUGGGAAGAGAUUGCUAAUCAUCAAUGUUGAUUAUGGAAUGAAAUAUGGAAUUAAGUAUCUAUCAUUGCAUGUGUAAUAGAGAGCAUUUAUCUAUCUCUUCCAUACAGGGAUAAAUGUCACAUAAAAUAUAGAUAAAGUAUGAAUGGUGACAAAGAUAAUUAAUCUGAUCAGCAUAACUAGCCACAUAUAAUAAUGACAAGCACCUCAACAGAUACUCUAGAAAGUCAUUAGCAUGGAAUUAGGAUGAACUACAAGAAUAUUUCCUAUGUUAUUCUUAACUAUAAAGUCUAGCAUAUCAUAGUUAGUGCAAUUAUACUUGGCAAUCAUUGCGAGACAGGACUACGCCCAUGUAUAAUAUUAUCAUGGAAGAUGAGAAACAUAGCAAUUACUCCCCUGUAAUAAUGUUGCUCUGCCUGCCCUAUACAUGGGAGGGGGACUAUAUAAGAAUCAAUGGAGCUGUCACCACCAUGAACUACCCUGCGAUCUGGCAUAUAGGGUACAAUCGCAGAUAAAUACGGUAUAGGCACCACGCCUACACAAUACUUAUCAUUUACCCACUGUACACAUGGAUAAACGCUAUACGAUCCUAAACAUGUAUAUAAUUCCAAUCUAACUAAGCCAAGCAUAUAACUAUGAUAAACUAAGAAUGAUAUAAUUGCAAAUAUAAACAAGUAGAGCAAGGUCAUAAUCAAUAUAUUGAAGUAGAACAAAGUCAUAUUCAUAAUAUUGAACAACAAUGAUGAGCAAAUGAAGAACAGUAGAGGAAUUACCAAGAAUCCUCUUGACUGAUCCAGAAACCAAUCGAAGAUUGACUCCUUCUAGUUCUAAUCCUAUGUAGCUAUGCUAAACUAGAGAUCUAGUUGAUGUGGUGGCUCUAGGGCUUGAUCAGAGACUUCUUCUCCCGAGAUGAAUGAAUGAAUUAGGGUUUUUCAGAGGUCCUCCUCUCCAGGGGCCAGGGGGCCUGCUUAUAUAGUCCUUCGAAAUGAAUAUGCGUCGUCAGAUCAAACCGACCAUAAUCACACGGUUUUCCUUAAUCCUCUAGGUUGGUGGAGCAUGAUCCACGAGACUCAGCCUGAUUAGCUGCUGAGCCAGGGCGGGCGCCCAAGGGGGAGGGCGGGCGCCCUGUCCCUGGGCCCGCUCGGCCUCCCGCUCGUUCCCGUGGCUUCUGGACUCUUCUAGGUUAGGGAAAAUUGCGCGGCACAUAAUUAUCUCUAUGUAAACCCGACAUGUGGGCCUUUCCUCUAUAUUUCCUGAUAACCCCCUGCAGAAAUAGACAAACACCAAAACUCGUGGAAUUCUGUCAGAUAAAACCCUAAGUCUGGGUGUCGGUUGCAUUUGGGUUCUUUUCUCUAUUUGUUUGUUGAUUAUAUUUGAUACUUAAGGACCGUCAACAAACUCCCCCAAGCUUACCUCUUGCUCGUACCUGAGCAAGGAUAAUCUCAGUGAUGGAUCAGAAGUUACGUAAUGCCUUUGAGUUUUGAUGGUACACAUGCUUUCAAAUAAUGUCUCAUCUCUGAGUCAGAGUAAACCGUCAAGACUUAAAACUUACUCAUUUUACCUUUCACCAUGGGACUUGUAACCGUCACUUCUGUUUUGAGCAGUUAAAAGAUAGAACAGUCUAGUCAAGCGCCAUGUCUCUUAUUCUUCAUCAGCUAUAGCUAUGGAGUUUUUGCAGAUUUUCAAAUAAAACUCAGAGAUUCCUUGUAUGACUCUCUCAGAUCUCUCUUUUAUGGUAUUUUUGGAUCCUUACUAAGGCAGUGAUGGUCUAUGCCUUCUCUCAAAGUAUGAAGCAUAGUGACCUUGCCUUCUCUCUCACCCUACUUUAAUAAGGCUUUUGAUAUCUAGAGCUCAUAGGUGGGAGAUAAAGUAUACAUACUUACAAGACAUUUAUUGCAUAGUCAAACCAUGGAUCUAGAGAAACAAGUCAAUAAGUCAAAUCAAGAUGUGCAUGUGUGGUGAAUGAAUGGUGUAUGGUGAUGAUGGUGAUAACACUGGUGAAAAUCUAAUUCUACUUUUUGCUCUUUUGAGGGGAUACAUACCUUUCUUGCUCUUUUGAAACUUUUUGAGGAGAAUGAGAUGCUCUACAUUUUCUUUUUCUUUCCUCUUAGGUGGGUGUUGCACCCCUAAUUCUAGUGUCAGACACUUGUCCAUUUUUACCUCUCGUCUCACAUUUUCUUUUCUUUCGAGGUUCUGGACACUUGCCCCUUUUUAUUUCUUCGUAUCCUUUCUCUCUCUCUCUUCUUUUUUUAGAGCACUCAUUUCCUGAAAUAAUAUAGCAAGUGGUAGUAACCAAGAUAACUCGAGCAUUUAUUUCACAGGGAAAAACAGAAAUAGGAGAAUAUUUUUGGCUAUUCUCUCCCGGAUUAGGAGUAGAAUACUUUUGGGUCGCUCUAGAGAUGGGAAUGAGUGGAUAUAUGUGGAUGCAUACUUCUAGAGUAGAAGCAGCAUGUGUGAGUAAACGUGCAAGUGAAUCUUGAUUUAACCACAUGACAAGCUCCUAAGGGCGUACACAGCUUGACCACACUCAAUGCUCAUAAGCAGUAAAAAGUAAGUGUGUGGCUUAAAGUCUAGCAAGCAUGUAUAUAUGGUUGUGGUAGGAAUUUAAACUCUCAUCAUACAGGAACUCAUCAUGUGUUAUUUUAACGAUUUUCAAAGAUAAAAUUCACCAGAUUUCUAGCAUCUCUGGGAAUAGAUAAACAGCAGCUCAACCUUCUCAUAUCAUAUCCGUUAACAACUUAGACUUCCGAUCAAGUUCUCUUCCCACAAGUUCAGGAUUUUAGAACAAGGUUUAAAUUAUAACAGUUAUGUCUAAACUAGAGAGAGAACUUCAAAUUUGAAAAUUAGGCAGAGCAACUAUUCAUCAUAUCCAUGAUAGAGUUUUAUUAAGAUUUAGUUUAGCAUAGCCACUUUAUUUAUUUAUGAAGCACACUAAGCAAAAGAUAUAUAUAUAUAAGCACAAAAUCUUAAUUUGGUUUUUCAUGGUUAUGUAUAUUUUUUAUUUAAAUAUAGUAUAAGUAUAUAGAUAGAUAGGAAUACUUAACGGGAUAACUGGGGGUCCUCUCCCCCAAGCUGGAUUUUGACGUAAUUUCUUUUGAUGUAGCUAGUAGGUGGCAGAGGUAUAUUUGAAUGUCGGCAGCACCCUAACAGCGAUUAGAAUGUCCUCCGUCUGCUAGUCUUCUUGAUCCUUGAAUUCUGUGGAGCUGAAAUAGACAACAAAGCUUUGUGGAACAGAUUAGGUGUCAGCAUAAAUAUCUAGCCUUUAUCAUGUUGAGCCUCCUCAAUAAAUGCUACUUUCUUUGGUAGGAUCACAAUUUUAUAUUUUUAUAGAGCAGAAGAAUAUUUUUAUUUUAUUAUUUUUUUAUGUCACCACAGUGAAUGUACUUAUGGGUUUUAUGCCACUUGUAUACUCACAUAGGGCUUACUGGUUUUAACAUUUUUAUUUUUUCGUUCCAAGAUAUAAACUUGAUUAACUAAGCAAACUAUUUUAAAUAAUUGAAAGAAAAAGGAUAACUACCAAGUUUACCUCUUUGCAAGGCGUUCGGCGUUUUUAAGUCCUCCGAACGGGACUCUCUGUUUUCUCAGUCGUCCUGGGAUUCGCUGAAUGGCGUAGUCGGUGGUUCCAGCGGUGCCUCCUCUUCGUGUAUAACUAUCUUCUCUCUCCACACCUAACUCGGUGCUACGGUCUCCUUAGGACAGUUCUGUUCAUGCUGUAUGUCUUCAGACCUUACCACUUCUCCUUCGUAGUCUGCCCAUCCGUCCUUGAUGAUUUGCCUCCUCUGGUUGCGGUUACAUCGUAUUCUUCUUGUCCUCACCUACUUAGAGUCUUCAACUAUAUAGUUAGGGUCAGUAAAAUAGCGGCGUACCUUCUGAGAGGGGAAGUGCAUGUGGACUUCUCCGGUUCCAAUGUAGAUGAUUGCUUUAACGGUGCUGAGGAACGGUCUCCCAAGGAUGACGGGUGGAUCGUACUCGUCUUCUCCCAUGUCAAUAACCUGAAAAUCUGUAUAGACAAAAUGAUCAUCUAUUUUGACAGGGACAUCAGUUACUAUACCUUCAUCCUUUCAGAAUGUCUGAUCUGCCAUCUGGAGGUGAAUGUAUAUCGGUUUUAGAGGUAUGGUUCUGAACAGGAGCUGAUAGGUUACUGCGGCCAUUAUGUUGACGCCCGACCUGGUGUCGCAAAGCGUCUUCUGGAAGUUGU
This 7798-nucleotide long non-coding RNA is filed under the name Sorghum bicolor (sorghum). RNAcentral's name for it is "long non-coding RNA (SBIC_LNC002428)". The stretch from base 2549 to 2655 matches the Rfam family "Plant small nucleolar RNA R71". The record is from RNAcentral. Lineage: Eukaryota; Viridiplantae; Streptophyta; Magnoliopsida; Poales; Poaceae.